Molecule: ribosomal RNA, 289 nt
Filed under: Vibrio parahaemolyticus 863
Lineage: Bacteria; Pseudomonadati; Pseudomonadota; Gammaproteobacteria; Vibrionales; Vibrionaceae
Description: partial 23S ribosomal RNA
Rfam family: Bacterial large subunit ribosomal RNA
Source: RNAcentral
GUUGUAUGGUUAAGUGACUAAGCGUACACGGUGGAUGCCUUGGCAGUCAGAGGCGAUGAAGGACGUAUUAACUUGCGAUAAGCCCAGAUUAGGCAGUAAAAGCCACUUGAGUCUGGGAUUUCCGAAUGGGGAAACCCAACUGCAUAAGCAGUUACUGUUAACUGAAUACAUAGGUUAACAGGGCGAACCGGGGGAACUGAAACAUCUAAGUACCCCGAGGAAAAGAAAUCAACCGAGAUUCCGAAAGUAGCGGCGAGCGAAAUUGGACUAGCCCUUAAGCUUUACACGC